This 254-nucleotide ribosomal RNA is filed under the name uncultured bacterium. RNAcentral's name for it is "partial 16S ribosomal RNA". It matches the Rfam family "Bacterial small subunit ribosomal RNA", at positions 524 to 776 of the family's 1533-position model. The record is from RNAcentral.
UACGUAGGGUGCGAGCGUUGUCCGGAAUUAUUGGGCGUAAAGAGCUCGUAGGCGGUCUGUCGCGUCGAUCGUGAAAACUUGGGGCUUAACCCUGAGCUUGCGGUCGAUACGGGCAUGACUGGAGUUCGGCAGGGGAGACUGGAAUUCCUGGUGUAGCGGUGAAAUGCGCAGAUAUCAGGAGGAACACCGGUGGCGAAGGCGGCAUCCUGGACCAAUAUUGACGCUGAGGAGCGAAAGCCAGGGGAGCAAACGGG